CCAGCCUGCCAGUGACUACAAGUUCAACGGCCGCGGUAUUUUGACCGUGCAAAGGUAGCGCAAUCACUUGUCUUUUAAAUAGAGACCUGUAUGAAUGGCUAAACGAGGGCUUAACUGUCUCCCCUUUCCAGUCAGUGAAAUUGAUCUGCCCGUGCAGAAGCGGACAUAAAAAUACAAGACGAGAAGACCCUUUGGAGCUUAAGGUACAAAACUCAAUCCACGUCAAGCAACUCAAUAAAAAGCAAAAACUUUGCGGAACAUGAGAUUUUACCUUCGGUUGGGGCGACCACGGAGGAAAACAAAGCCUCCAAGUGGAUUGGGAAAACCUCCUAAAACCAAGAGAGACAUCUCUAAGCCACAGAACAUCUGACCAAACAUGAUCCGGCUGCCCGAAGCCGAUCAACGAACCAAGUUACCCUAGGGAUAACAGCGCAAUCCUCUCCCAGAGUCCAUAUCGACGAGAGGGUUUACGACCUCGAUGUUGGAUCAGGACAUCCUAAUGGUGCAGCCGCUAUUAAGGGUUCGUUUGUUCAACGAUUAAAGUCCUACGUGAUCUGA
This 558-nucleotide ribosomal RNA is filed under the name Labeo catla (catla). RNAcentral describes it as "partial 16S ribosomal RNA". It matches the Rfam family "Bacterial large subunit ribosomal RNA", at positions 1901 to 2608 of the family's 2925-position model. The record is from RNAcentral. Lineage: Eukaryota; Metazoa; Chordata; Actinopteri; Cypriniformes; Cyprinidae.